RNAcentral lists this ribosomal RNA (480 nucleotides) under uncultured bacterium. Its description in RNAcentral is "partial 16S ribosomal RNA". It matches the Rfam family "Bacterial small subunit ribosomal RNA", at positions 28 to 507 of the family's 1533-position model. The record is from RNAcentral.
GACGAACGCUGGCGGCGUGCUUAACACAUGCAAGUCGAACGAUGAAGCAAAGAAUUGAAGCUUCGGCAGAAAUUCAUUUCGGAUUAGUGGCAGACGGGUGAGUAACGCGUGAGCAACCUACCUCUUACAAAGGGAUAGCCUCGGGAAACCGGGAUUAAUACCAUAUAACAUUGCAACGAUGCAUUUCGUUGCAAUCAACGCUACGGCGGUAAGAGUUGGGCUCGCGUCCCAUUAACCAGAUGGUGAGGUAACGGCUCAACAUAGUAACGAUGGGUAACCGGACUGAGAGGGUGAACGGUCACACUGGAAAUGAGACACGGUCCAGACUCCUACGGGAGGAAGCAGUGGGGAAUAUUGCACAAUGGAGGGAACUCAGAUGCAGCGACGCCGCGUGAGUGAUGAAGGAAUUCGUAUCGUAAAACUCUGUUCUAUGGGAAGAAAAUGACUGUACCAUAGGAGAAAGCUCCGGCUAAAUACGUG